AACGAACGCUGGCGGCAGGCUUAACACAUGCAAGUCGAACGCCCCGCAAGGGGAGUGGCAGACGGGUGAGUAACGCGUGGGAAUCUACCCAUCUCUACGGAAUAACUCAGGGGAAACUUGUGCUAAUACCGUAUACGCCCUUUGGGGGAAAGAUUUAUCGGAGAUGGAUGAGCCCGCGUUGGAUUAGCUAGUUGGUGGGGUAAAGGCCUACCAAGGCGACGAUCCAUAGCUGGUCUGAGAGGAUGAUCAGCCACACCGGGACUGAGACACGGCCCAGACUCCUACGGGAGCAGCAGUGGGAAUAUUGGACAAUGGGCNCAAGCCUGAUCCAGCCAUGCCGCGUGAGUGAUGAAGG
RNAcentral lists this ribosomal RNA (355 nucleotides) under uncultured bacterium. RNAcentral describes it as "bacterial SSU rRNA". It matches the Rfam family "Bacterial small subunit ribosomal RNA", at positions 29 to 414 of the family's 1533-position model. The record is from RNAcentral.